AGUGAACGCUGGCGGUAGGCCUAACACAUGCAAGUCGAACGGCAGCACAGUAAGAGCUUGCUCUUACGGGUGGCGAGUGGCGGACGGGUGAGGAAUACAUCGGAAUCUACUUUUUCGUGGGGGAUAACGUAGGGAAACUUACGCUAAUACCGCAUACGACCUACGGGUGAAAGCAGGGGAUCUUCGGACCUUGCGCGAUUGAAUGAGCCGAUGUCGGAUUAGCUAGUUGGCGGGGUAAAGGCCCACCAAGGCGACGAUCCGUAGCUGGUCUGAGAGGAUGAUCAGCCACACGGGAACUGAGACACGGUCCAGACUCCUACGGGAGGAAGCAGUGGGGAAUAUUGGGCAAGGGGCGCAAGCCUGAUCCAGCCAUACCGCGUGGGUGAAGAAGGCCUUCGGGUGGUAAAGCCCUGUUGUUGGGAAAGAAAAACAGCAGUUUAAUACCCCGCUGUUCUGACGGUACCCAAAGAAGAAGCACCGGCUAACUUCGUG
This 492-nucleotide ribosomal RNA is filed under the name uncultured bacterium. RNAcentral's name for it is "partial 16S ribosomal RNA". It matches the Rfam family "Bacterial small subunit ribosomal RNA", at positions 29 to 507 of the family's 1533-position model. The record is from RNAcentral.